RNAcentral lists this ribosomal RNA (274 nucleotides) under uncultured bacterium. Its description in RNAcentral is "partial 16S ribosomal RNA". It matches the Rfam family "Bacterial small subunit ribosomal RNA", at positions 523 to 796 of the family's 1533-position model. The record is from RNAcentral.
CUACGGAGGAUCCAAGCGUUAUCCGGAAUCAUUGGGUUUAAAGGGUCCGUAGGUGGACAGAUAAGUCAGAGGUGAAAUCCUGCAGCUCAACUGUAGAAUUGCCUUUGAAACUGUUUGUCUUGAGUCACUGUGAAGUGGUUAGAAUGUGUAGUGUAGCGGUGAAAUGCAUAGAUAUUACACAGAAUACCGAUUGCGAAGGCAGAUCACUAAUAAUGUACUGACACUGAUGGACGAAAGCGUGGGUAGCGAACAGGAUUAGAAACCCUAGUAGUCC